UUGUGACAUUUGCUCUGCUACCU
Molecule: non-coding RNA, 23 nt
Filed under: Cricetulus griseus (Chinese hamster)
Lineage: Eukaryota; Metazoa; Chordata; Mammalia; Rodentia; Cricetidae
Source: RNAcentral